AAAAAUCUAUGUGAAAUAUUUUAUAAUAAAUAAAAUUUUUAUGUUUUAUAAAAUUUAUUAUGAAUUUAUUUUACAUAUAAAUUUUAGUAUAAAAUUUUAAUUAUUUUAAAAAUAAAUUAAUUUUAAGUGUUAUAGUAAUUUAAAUUAAAAAUUUAAGAAAUUAAGAUUUAGUAAUAUAAAAAUUAAUAACUAAUUUUGUGCCAGCAGUUGCGGUUAUACAAAAAUUAAAUUAAAUUAUUUCAGUAUUUAAUAAAUAAAAUAUAAUUAAAAUAAAUAUUAAAUUAUUAGGUGAAAUUUUAAUUUAAUUAAAUUUUAAAUUAAUUUUAUGAUUUAAUAAAUUUAAUAAUAAACUAGGAUUAGAUACCCUAUUAUUAAAAAUUUAACUAAUAAUACUAAAAUAGUAGAUAAUAAAUAUUGAAACUUAAAUAAUAUGGCGGUAUUUUAGUUCAUUUAGAGGAAUCUGUUUAAUAAUUGAUAAUCCACGAAUAAAUUUACUUAAUUUAAUAUUUUAUAUAUCGUUGUUAAAAAAAUAUUUUAUUAUAAAAAUAAUAUUUUAAAAUUUUAAAAGUAAAUUAAUUCAGAUCAAGAUGUAGAUUAUAAUUAAGAAUAUAAUGGAUUACAAUAAAAUAAUUUAAAUGAAUAAUUAAUUUUAAAAUUAAUUUGAAGGUGGAUUUAAAUGUAAUUUUAAUUAAUUUAUUAAAAUGAUUAAAAAUUGAAAUAUGUACAUAUUGCCCGUCACUUUCAUUUAAAAAUUGAAAUAAGUCGUAACAAAGUAGAAGUACUGGAAAGUGUUUCUAGAAUGAA
This 804-nucleotide non-coding RNA is filed under the name Lethe chandica (angled red forester). The record is from RNAcentral. Lineage: Eukaryota; Metazoa; Arthropoda; Insecta; Lepidoptera; Nymphalidae.